GGAUAUGGCUCAGAUUGAACGCUGGCGGCAGGCUUAACACAUGCAAGUCGAGCGGAUGAAAGUAGCUUGCUACUGGAUUCAGCGGCGGACGGGUGAGUAAUGCUUAGGAAUCUGCCUAUUAGUGGGGGACAACGUUCCGAAAGGAGCGCUAAUACCGCAUACGUCCUACGGGAGAAAGCAGGGGACCUUCGGGCCUUGCGCUAAUAGAUGAGCCUAAGUCGGAUUAGCUAGUUGGUAGGGUAAAGGCCUACCAAGGCGACGAUCUGUAGCGGGUCUGAGAGGAUGAUCCGCCACACUGGGACUGAGACACGGCCCAGACUCCUACGGGAGGCAGCAGUGGGGAAUAUUGGACAAUGGGGGGAACCCUGAUCCAGCCAUGCCGCGUGUGUGAAGAAGGCCUUUUGGUUGUAAAGCACUUUAAGCGAGGAGGAGGCUACCUAGAUUAAUACUUUAGGAUAGUGGACGUUACUCGCAGAAUAAGCACCGGCUAACUCUGUGCCAGCAGCCGCGGUAAUACAGAGGGUGCGAGCGUUAAUCGGAUUUACUGGGCGUAAAGCGUGCGUAGGCGGCCAAUUAAGUCAAAUGUGAAAUCCCCGAGCUUAACUUGGGAAUUGCAUUCGAUACUGGUGGCUAGAGUUUGAAGAAGUU
RNAcentral lists this ribosomal RNA (648 nucleotides) under Acinetobacter radioresistens. RNAcentral's name for it is "bacterial SSU rRNA". It matches the Rfam family "Bacterial small subunit ribosomal RNA", at positions 15 to 658 of the family's 1533-position model. The record is from RNAcentral. Lineage: Bacteria; Pseudomonadati; Pseudomonadota; Gammaproteobacteria; Moraxellales; Moraxellaceae.